RNAcentral lists this ribosomal RNA (709 nucleotides) under uncultured bacterium. RNAcentral describes it as "bacterial SSU rRNA". It matches the Rfam family "Bacterial small subunit ribosomal RNA", at positions 125 to 832 of the family's 1533-position model. The record is from RNAcentral.
CCUUCCGUACACUCAGGGAUAGCCUUUCGAAAGAAAGAUUAAUACCUGAUAGUAUCUUAAGCACACAUGUAAUUAAGAUUAAAGAUUUAUCGGUGUACGAUGGGGAUGCGUUCCAUUAGGUAGUAGGCGGGGUAACGGCCCACCUAGCCAACGAUGGAUAGGGGUUCUGAGAGGAAGGUCCCCCACAUUGGAACUGAGACACGGUCCAAACUCCUACGGGAGGCAGCAGUGAGGAAUAUUGGUCAAUGGACGAGAGUCUGAACCAGCCAAGUAGCGUGAAGGAUGAAGGUCCUACGGAUUGUAAACUUCUUUUAUAAGGGAAUAAACCCUCCCACGUGUGGGAGCUUGUAUGUACCUUAUGAAUAAGCAUCGGCUAACUCCGUGCCAGCAGCCGCGGUAAUACGGAGGAUGCGAGCGUUAUCCGGAUUUAUUGGGUUUAAAGGGAGCGCAGACGGGUCGUUAAGUCAGCUGUGAAAGUUUGGGGCUCAACCUUAAAAUUGCAGUUGAUACUGGCGUCCUUGAGUGCGGUUGAGGUGUGCGGAAUUCGUGGUGUAGCGGUGAAAUGCUUAGAUAUCACGAAGAACUCCGAUUGCGAAGGCAGCACACUAAUCCGUAACUGACGUUCAUGCUCGAAAGUGUGGGUAUCAAACAGGAUUAGAUACCCUGGUAGUCCACACGGUAAACGAUGGAUACUCGCUGUUGGCGAUAU